RNAcentral lists this ribosomal RNA (257 nucleotides) under uncultured prokaryote. Its description in RNAcentral is "partial 16S ribosomal RNA". It matches the Rfam family "Bacterial small subunit ribosomal RNA", at positions 521 to 777 of the family's 1533-position model. The record is from RNAcentral.
UAAUACGGGGGGGGCAAGCGUUGUUCGGAAUUACUGGGCGUAAAGGGCUCGUAGGCGGCCAACUAAGUCAGACGUGAAAUCCCUCGGCUCAACCGGGGAACUGCGUCUGAUACUGGAUGGCUUGAAUCCGGGAGAGGGAUGCGGAAUUCCAGGUGUAGCGGUGAAAUGCGUAGAUAUCUGGAGGAACACCGGUGGCGAAGGCGGCAUCCUGGACCGGUAUUGACGCUGAGGAGCGAAAGCCAGGGGAGCAAACGGGA